GCGGCAUCUCAUCUCGGUUUGGCCGAUUUCGGCCGGUUUCAGCCAUUUUUAUGCGAAAACUUACAAAAGAAGAGGUUAGGUGGCCUCGAUUGGCUGAUAAAAAGGAAAAACUAAGGCUUACCGGCAGGUUAGUUUUCUGGUGUAGCAGCUCCGCCAUUCCUCUUUCGCGGCCAGAGAUUUUCUUUGGUUGACUUGUACCAGAAAUGGGUUAGGGAUACACUGGUCGGAAUAUGUAAGGAAAUGGGAAGCAGGAUCGGCCUCACCGGAGCGGUUUUGGGUCAUGGGUGCAGCGGUUUGACCAAGCUUCGCUCCUGAUUUUUUACUUUUCUUUUGGUUUUUCGGCUCCGAUAUGGGUGUGCGGAUGCUUAUAAUCAAAUUUCAAAGCGAAAGGUGGAAAAAACUCACAUCACCGAUGUCGACGGCGACGGUGGUCGGCUUUCCUUUCGACCACGCUUCUUCUUCUUCUUCAAUGGGGUGAGGUGCGGCAAGGUUAAUGUUUUCUAGGAAGUGAUGUC
RNAcentral lists this long non-coding RNA (515 nucleotides) under Carica papaya (papaya). RNAcentral's name for it is "long non-coding RNA (CPAP_LNC010247)". Lineage: Eukaryota; Viridiplantae; Streptophyta; Magnoliopsida; Brassicales; Caricaceae. The record is from RNAcentral.